RNAcentral lists this non-coding RNA (21 nucleotides) under Caenorhabditis elegans. Lineage: Eukaryota; Metazoa; Nematoda; Chromadorea; Rhabditida; Rhabditidae. The record is from RNAcentral.
UGCACAAUUGAUGAAGGUGCU